AUUGAACGCUGGCGGCAUGCCUUACACAUGCAAGUCGAACGGCAGCGCGGACUUCGGUCUGGCGGCGAGUGGCGAACGGGUGAGUAAUACAUCGGAACGUACCCUGUUGUGGGGGAUAACUAGUCGAAAGAUUAGCUAAUACCGCAUGCGACCUGAGGGUGAAAGUGGGGGACCGCAAGGCCUCACGCAGCAGGAGCGGCCGAUGUCUGAUUAGCUAGUUGGUGGGGUAAAGGCCCACCAAGGCGACGAUCAGUAGCUAGUCUGAGAGGACGAUCAGCCACACUGGGACUGAGACACGGCCCAGACUCCUACGGGAGGCAGCAGUGGGGAAUUUUGGACAAUGGGGGCAACCCUGAUCCAGCAAUGCCGCGUGUGUGAAGAAGGCCUUCGGGUUGUAAAGCACUUUUGUCCGGAAAGAAAUCGCGCUGGUUAAUACCUGGCGUGGAUGACGGUACCGGAAGAAUAAGCACCGGCUAACUACGUG
RNAcentral lists this ribosomal RNA (484 nucleotides) under uncultured bacterium. Its description in RNAcentral is "partial 16S ribosomal RNA". It matches the Rfam family "Bacterial small subunit ribosomal RNA", at positions 30 to 507 of the family's 1533-position model. The record is from RNAcentral.